Molecule: unclassified non-coding RNA, 2314 nt
Filed under: Schistocerca americana (American grasshopper)
Lineage: Eukaryota; Metazoa; Arthropoda; Insecta; Orthoptera; Acrididae
Description: uncharacterized LOC124554824, transcript variant X1
Source: RNAcentral
UACUACUUCUCUGGUGUUUACGUCGUCGGAAUGCUUGAAUCCGUUAGGCCAGGGCGUUGCCUUGUUUUGUUGAUUUCUGUUGUUAAGACAAUGUUGAGAUGAAUAAAAUUAUUUGGAUGGAUCGUGGAGCCAGCUGAUGAGUGAAAAAUUGCUACGAGUGUGUCUAUUGCCGCUGUCUGUUAUACUGAGGGGAGCUGCUGCCUUUGUGUUGCUGUCAAAUCCUGAUAUCCCUUGAAUAUUUGGAACAAGAAUGGUUGCCAUAAGAUCAUGUUGGUCUCCUUGCAUAUGGAACAGCAAUGUCAAAGUUGGAACCUACAUGGUUGCAGCUUAUACUGCAUCCUUCAGUGUUGUCCUAAUUACACUGAUUGCAUAUAUGAUGAGUGGUGGGGAAUCAACCCAGCUAUAUUCACCAUUAUUUGAGACGGAUGUCAGAGGAUCUAUGCUUGGUGUUGGAGGGUUUUUCAUUGCCUACCUGCUGCUGCUGAUUGCAUUCUCUGUAUUCCUCAUUUUUGGUGUGGUGGAAACUAAUCGAGGAAUGAUGCUGCCAUGGAUGAUCUGCUUUGGAAUAGUAAUAUUGUUUCAGCUAGUUUUUGGCCUGUGGUUGCUUGGUGGAUACUACAUAUAUCUGGAUUCCGUUAUGGCAGCUCUUGUUGAUUGGCUUUGGAUGGCAUACAAUGCAUACUGCUGGACCUGUGUGUAUUCUCUGUACCAGAUAUUUAAGGAAAUGCAGUCCCCAAAUAUUGAACUGCUGUACCCAUGAACUAUAGCUGUUGCUCUGAUCAUCAGAAAAGCACCAUCUAAAUCUAUGAAUAGAUUAGAUGAACACAGGGAUCUGGUCUCUCAUUAUGUGCACAAUAUCCACUAAAAUUCCCCAGCAUGCUUUGGCUUUAUUAUGUUACUUCACGUGAAUAGAAACAGUACUUCCACUUCAAAUAAAAGUGUUCAUAGCAUUAUGUAUAUUUUUAGUUUUCAUUGUGAGGAAAGUUCAUUUGUGGAUCUUAUCACAUAACCAUUGUGAUUUAUAUUGCAUUCAUAUGAAUAAUACAUUGGAACACUGUGUUCUGGAACAUUUACUCCAUGCUAUGGUAUCAGUAAAUACUACAAACUAGUUCCUGUCAACCAAUCAGACUUAGAAUUACCAUUUGUGGGCAUUGGUAUUAUGAAUGUAUGGUUAACACCCAUCUGUAGUUUUUCAAAGAUAAUGUAGAUGCAUUCUUAAAAUUUGUGUUCUGUUGCACUUGUAGCCACUAUCUAGCUUACAUGUAAUUAUCACUGAAAAACUGGCUAUUUUUAAAGUUAUUCUACAGCAAAGAGGCCUUGCUAUAUGUUGUAUAGUUUUGUCAUCACGCAGAUGUAAAAUUUGCCUUUGCCUGUUUCAGUAAUUAAAAUAUUCUUGCAUCACUGUCUUCCAACACACACACACACACACACACACACACACACACACACACACACACACACACACACAAAACAGCGAUCAUUUUACAAAUAAGAUUAAUGCUGCCAUGUAUCCUGUUAUCAUCAGUAUCUGAAGGUAUUUCUAAUCUCACAGAGUUUGUAAACAUAGACAAGAUAUAUUUCACACCUACUGUGAAGUGUCAGAGAAUGUACAUAACAAAGCAAUAAGUGACUAGCAUAAUAGUACUUUUAGAUAGAGUAAGAUUAUUAUAAAAUGCUACACAGGAGCUAAUGUGUAUUGAUUAUGUACACAGUAAAUUUUAAUCUAAAAGUAUCUGUCAUACUUUCAAAUUCAUAAAUACUGUGCAUUAAGGAGAGAUGCCACAGGUUCUGUUUUUAGAGGGUUGAAUUAUUUUGCAUGUUCAGCCUGUGUUCAAACAUUCAUUCUCUGUUCCCCACUGAGUAAUUUAAAUUUAUUAAUUAUCUUUUACUAAACUGUGGUUGCCUUUUUGCACACCACUGUUUGCAAGGGGAAAAUCGUAUACAUGCAUCAUUGUUUCUAAUUCUUAAUAUGUCCAAUAAAAUAUUAGUGAGAAGUAUUAUAAAACUUUUUUUACUGUAAUGUUAUUUUGUAGUUGAAUGUUAUAUUUGUACUUUUUAUAGUAGUUAAUGUUAGUCUUUCAUGAAGACUGACUCUUAUUUUUUUAUCACAAAAAUUGUCAAACAUUGAUUACUCAGAAUGUACCUUAAAGUAUUCUACACAAUUCCGUCCAAUUAAGAAACUGUGUUUCAUUGUGAAAAGUAAUCCAUCCAUUGUUGCAUCUUUGUCAAAUGCAUUUUUACCCAUACAUUUGUUAAAUGUUUACAAUAUUUUAUGCAGUAAAAUGUUUAAUAAACAUAUGUUUUAUUGAAAAUC